Molecule: long non-coding RNA, 1556 nt
Organism: Vidua chalybeata
Lineage: Eukaryota; Metazoa; Chordata; Aves; Passeriformes; Viduidae
Exons: 2
Source: RefSeq, a predicted model, not a curated record
UAUAAAAUACAUACAUAUGUUACAACAACCUCCUUGAGAGGAAAGAUCUCUCCUCUUAAAGAGAGAGCAAACAGAGCCCCUGAAUACCAAAUGGACUGUAUGCAUAGAGACAAUCUGGUUUCCUCAGUUCCCUGAGGAGCAGAAUUCCUCUCCCAGCCUUUCUUUUUUUUUUUUUUUUUUUAAUUUGGAUCAAGGUUCUUAAAAUUGUAAAUUAUUUUAAAUUUCACAUCUCACUAUAAUAAGUACUCAGGAUACCUUCAUGUUAAUUUUGGGUAGCAACCAUUAGUCCCAGUACAAGCAGAGUUUGAGUCAGUGCCACGGUGUAGACGGGAGGAAGUCACUGAACAUGGCAGAGCGUGGCCUUUACGAUGCAGUUAAAGUGGGAGUGUGUGCUCAUAUAAUGAUUUCUUUUUCUAAGCAGCUGGUUUUGGAUUUUAGGUGUGUUCUGAAGAGGAGAUAAACUGUGGAGUUUGGCACUGCAUUACAGCCAGCUGCUGCUACUUUAGGGAGAAGAGUGCUUGUGCCUGUUCCACUAGUUGGGCUCCAAAGAAAAGUACUACCUCGUCUUUCAGUUGGGAUGAUGUGGCCACAGGGUCAGCAGAAAUGUCAUUGCUGUGUUAGGUUUUGUUCUGCAUGUAUUACCUGGAUGGGAGUCUUUCCUCACUGGAAUGGGGCUCCAGAGGUUAUAAAGCUUUUGUAAAGGAGGAGUGAAGAGUUAGGACAGAUGGUUGAAGGUUGAGUUUGUGAAAAUUGUGUCCCUGUCGUAAAAUUGCUGCUCCGAGUGCUCUUUUUCUAGGCCUGGAGAUUGCCUGUAUUAAAACUGUUUGGGGGUGGGGCGGGUUUUUUCUUUUUUGUGAUUUCCAUUGAAAAAAUGCUGUGUUGCAGUUCUUCAAGUUUAUGACAUUGGUAUCUAAUUGAAAAACAACAGCAAAAAAUCACAAAAAGCAACUCCCCUUUCCACAGAAAUAUUGGAAGUAGUCUUCUGUGUGCAAAGGUGUUUCAGAUGAAAUCUAAGCCUCCUGUGGAGGAAGAAAAAAAAAUCACCUGACAGCUGUAGACUGUUCCUUUCCUGCAGAAAUACAGAAUUUUCCUCAAAUGCAAGUGGAACAAGCAUCCUUGAGCUUUUCUGAAGCUUAUAUUUAAUUUCAGUACCUUGGUGAUUACUCUUGUAUAUUUAGAGAAUCAAUGAAGCCUCAUUAUCGCUUGAUUGGGUGUCUAGCUGGUUGUUCCUAUGCUUUUCUGAUUCUAGUCAAGGAAGCCUGUUCGAAUUUGGAUCAAACAAUGGCCAAAGUGGAGACUUGUUGAGCAUGAAUCCAAAUGGUGACUUUAAGAACAUUCACUAUGUUGGUGUGGAUCAGAGCUUAUUGUAAAAACCUCAGAUAGAAAGAAGUUUGGGUUUUUUUAGCAGGUUACAGUCUAUUCCUGUACUAGCUGUAUUAUUGCUUUUUUGUAUAUCUCAAGGUGUUUACAUAUACUUGUAAUUGUUACGAUGUGUCUGUAAUCAAGCUCAUCUGUGCCUUCAUGCAGACUCCCAAUAAACACUUGAUUUUUUUGUA